AUUGAACGCUGGCGGCAUGCUUUACACAUGCAAGUCAAACGGCAGCGCGGGCUUCGGCCUGGCGGCGAGUGGCGAACGGGUGAGUAAUGCAUCGGAACGUGCCCAGUAGUGGGGGAUAGCCCGGCGAAAGCCGGAUUAACACCGCAUACGACCUGAGGGUGAAAGCGGGGGACCGAAAGGCCUCGCGCUAUUGGAGCGGCCGAUGUCGGAUUAGCUAGUUGGUGGGGUAAAGGCUUACCAAGGCGACGAUCCGUAGCUGGUCUGAGAGGACGACCAGCCACACUGGGACUGAGACACGGCCCAGACUCCUACGGGAGGCAGCAGUGGGGAAUUUUGGACAAUGGGGGCAACCCUGAUCCAGCCAUGCCGCGUGCGGGAAGAAGGCCUUCGGGUUGUAAACCGCUUUUGUUCGGGAAGAAAUCCUCUGGGCUAAUACCCCGGGGGGAUGACGGUACCGGAAGAAUAAGCACCGGCUAACUACGUG
This 484-nucleotide ribosomal RNA is filed under the name uncultured bacterium. RNAcentral describes it as "partial 16S ribosomal RNA". It matches the Rfam family "Bacterial small subunit ribosomal RNA", at positions 29 to 507 of the family's 1533-position model. The record is from RNAcentral.